This is a long non-coding RNA of Salvelinus fontinalis (brook trout), 1274 nucleotides long. RefSeq lists it as uncharacterized. The record is from RefSeq and is a predicted model, not a curated record. The transcript has 3 exons. NCBI's taxonomy places the organism in Eukaryota, Metazoa, Chordata, Actinopteri, Salmoniformes, Salmonidae.
GACAGCUAGCUUCCGUCCGUUGGUACAUUGACUUCAAUACAAAACCUAAGAGGCUCUUGGUUCUCACCCCCUUCCAUAGAUUUACCCGGUAAUUAUGACAACUACCAUGUUGGAGGACGUCCUCUAUCAGAGCUCUUGCAGCAUGAACUGACAUGUUGUCCACCCAGUCAAAGGAUCAGAGAAUGAAUCUAGUACUGAAAGCAUAAGCUACAGCUAGCUAGCAGUGCAUAAAAUGUGAGUAGUUGACUCUGAGAGAAAGACCAUAGUUGAACAGUUACAACAAAUUCAUUUCAAAAUUAGAGAAGCAAGAGUGCGUAAAAAAAUAAUUAUUUCACUUACUUAGCUGGCUUAAACAGAAAGGGGAUACCUAGUCAGUUGUACAACUGAAUGCCUUCAACUGAAAUGUGUAAUGCAUUUAACCCAACCCCUCUGAAUCCUAGAGGUGCGGGGGACUGCCUUAAUCGACAUCCAGAGGGAUGCUAUGUUAAAACUAGCUAGCUACGACUAUCCAACACAAUACUGGAACUCUUCCAAGGCAAGGACAAUGACCCAACACCUCCAGGUUGUGUAAGGGCUGUCUGACCAAGGAGAGUGAUGGAGUGCUGCAUCAGAUGACCUGGAGUGCUGCAUCAGAUGACCUGGCGUCCACAGUCAAGCCCAUUUGAGAUGGUUUGGGAUGAGUUGGACCGCAGAGUGAAGGAGAGAUUGAGAGUGAAGGAAAAGCAGUCAACAUGUGCUCAGCAUUCCAGGAAGCAGACUGCGGCCAAUACCCACUUGGCAGGCUUCUCCUUGGUCUUGAGGUUGAAGGUCCAGGUGAUGGGGCCCCUCAUACAGGUCUUGUUGAUGGGACACUCCUCGUACAUGUUCUUGGUCUCCUGGUGGUCCACCGGUACCGCCUUGAUGAAGAUCGGCAUGUUGGGGGUCAGCUCCUUCAGACGAGCGUCCGCUAUCAUCCCCAUCUGGGUGUCCCAGCGCGCCCCUGCACACACACUACCCCACACACACACUGUAUAAAGGGUUGAACUCUAACCAUAGAAAUAUCUGUCAUCGCUCCAUCCCCUGUGACUGACCCUUCAUCGCCACAUUCUGUGUUUGUGUGUAUCUACAGUGCUGUACAAACGGACCCCUUAGUUUACCAAUUCCUGAGAUAUAGUACUGAGUUUUUACUGCUGUGUGUUUUCAUUGAACUAUAAACAUUCUGUACAUAUAGACCAACAGGAGGAACUGUAGCACAGGAUGUUUUGUACAUUCAAUAAACUCUCAUUAGUUCUGUA